This 363-nucleotide unclassified non-coding RNA is filed under the name uncultured bacterium. RNAcentral describes it as "contains 16S-23S intergenic spacer region". The record is from RNAcentral.
UCCCCGUUACCGGGGCAGUCUACCUAGAAAAAUCCAACUAAGUAUAAGGGUUGCGCUCGUUGAUGGACUUAACCAAACAUCUCACGACACGAGCUGACGACGGCCAUGCAAGAUCUGUCACCAAGUUCAAUAAAGCACUCUCGCCUUUCGGCAAAAUUCUUGGGAUGUCAAGCCCUGGUAAGGUUCUUCGUUUAUCAUCGAAUUAAAGAACACGCUCCACCGCUUGUGCGGGUCCCCGUCAAUUCCUUUGAGUUUUAGCCUUGCGGCCGUACUCCCCAGGCGGGGUGCUUAAUGCGUUAGCUUCGGCACGGACGGAGUCGACACCGCCCACACCUAGCACCCAUCGUUUACGGCGUGGACUAC